UGCGUUGCGAACGAGCGAGCGAAGCCUUUGCCCUCGAGCGACGCCACACCAGACCCUUCGCCCUCGCCGCCGCCGCCGAUCCCCUCCCUCAAACGCCGCCGCCCGUCGCUGCCGCCCCCGCCACCUCCCGUCGCGGGCAGGCGGUAGGAGCCCUGCCCGGCCAUGGCGACACCGCCGGCGGCCUCCUCCUCCCCCUCACCUUCUCUCCCUCUCCCAAGGGAUGGAAGGGAUCUGAUUGGAGCGGUGGAUCUGCGCCCUUGCCGUCUCUUCUUUUCUUCACCGAUUCCAGGAGGAGAUCGAAGUGGGAGGUAGACGAGCAGGAGCGCCGCGUCCGCGACAGCGAUGAGCGACGACCCAGGUUCUCCUCUCCCAUGGCAGGGGUCGGCGAGUGGCAACAGAUGCGGGACACCAACUGGUGGCGCAACGGACAGCGAGAGGCGGGACACCAACUGGGCGCGCCUCUCGCGGCCGACUUCCACGGCGGCGACGUCGUUUACCUUGGCGCCUGCUUCUUUCCGACUCAGCGAUCCCCGCGGGCACCGAUGGACGGCGACGGGCAGCACGUGCGGCCGCGGAGCCGCGCGCUCCUGGCCGGCGACGAGGAUGACGGGACGUACGCCAGCGACGUGUACAGCGGCAACCUCGCCGCCACGGGCGGGUCUCGUGCUGGCCGGAUCUUGGGGCGGUAGCAGUACUUGGUGCAGCGCCGCCGCGGCGACUACGGCAGCGUCGGGGUCGUCGUCGUCCUCAUCCGCACAGGGAAGCUGGACUCGGAGGUUUGCUGCUUCCGGUCGGCAGACGAUGGCUAUGACGCUAUGCCCAGCACGAGUGCUAACGCCAUCACGGCCGGCACCACUGGCACCAGCAGCCGCUCGGUGUGCUCUCCGGGAUGCUGCAGUCGAAGGGUCGAGCAGGAGCUAUGGAUGCCAGCAAACAAGCCUGUGUAGACGGCAAUGCAUCAAUCAAAUCGGAUGGAGAACAUCAGACAACAGCCUUUCUCCAGGACAUAAAGAAAAUGGUGGCACUUUGGGUUUUGCAGACGCCGCCUCGCGUAGGACUACGAACAUGGGACGCUCGGUCGAGUUUUUCUUAACUCGUCAGGAUUCUCAUGCUGCAAGGGCAAAUUUUUGGGUGUCCUGAUGUGUUUGCGGAUUGAUGAAAAUUUGGCGAGGGAGAUCAUAAACCAUCGCUCGCUGCAGCACAUCAAUUGUUGAAUUCGUUUGAAGGAGCUGUCAAUUGUUGAAUUCGCUUGAAGGAGAUGGAGCUCGUUUGGCUGAAUUUGCUACUGAGUUGCCACAUUUUGAGGGCCUGCAAUUGAAGAAUACAACACUUGAGAUAACAAUUGAAGAAUACUAGAGUAAUAAUAACUACUGCAAGAGUGAUGUAUUUUCUUUUUGUUGGAGAUUUUCUGCAUCUUUUAUGGACGGUAACAUUUGAGAUAACAAUUUGAUGUGCUAACCAUCAAGAUCAACUUCGACAUGUUUGGUCUCUAAAAGUUACUAUUGACCAUCAUUGGUGCAUCCUAUAAGAAGGGGAAAAUAAAGCAUUAAUGUGGAGUAUGUUCCAAUGGAAAUCUUCAGGAACACCUUGAAGGUCUGAGUGCAAUUUUUCUUUAGUUCUCUGUGAGCUUAAAAAUGCAACUGAUGUGGCCCAUGCAACUGAAAUUAAAAACAUGGAGAAGAAUCAUAAAAGAUCUCGCUGAAAAUGCCCUCGUUCCGCACUUCGUGUGGACAGGCAGCGCCCUUUACCUUCGAAGUCUCGAAAAAUGGUCUGGGUGAUGUGGGUGCCUCAAUGCUUGAUGCCAUGUUCUGUAAGAGGCCAAGGUUGUAUUUGGGUGUCCACGCGCUACAGGGAAUUACUGUGCGGAGUAGUAAGAAUUGAUUUAAACGUAGAGCCUAGACUCGCACUCCAUGAGCAUCCAUGGCCGGCGAGACAGGACCCUCGACCCUCGGCCUCUGUUGAGAAGGAUCGUUCCACUGUGUCCGAUUUGUAGUACAGAGCAAUCUCAUUCCUCUGAAGUUCCUAUUGGGCAAAAUGGGCAAGAUGUGUUUGGUUAAUGUAUGACUAUCACGUUCCCCACCAAGUGAAAUGUGCUAUUUCACCACAAACACUGACGAAGUUAAGCUCAGUGCAGGCAAAAUGGAUAAGUCUGUAACUGGAACUCUGGAUAGUUGAUCCUCUGAAUGGCGAAAAAUUUAUCAAAGUUGCUGAGGUUCAGGGGUCUGAAAUUAAGCCAUUUGUGGAUAGUUUAUCUAAAUGCCCAAAACCCACUUAGAGCUCCAGAGAGGUCUUGUUUUCUUGUACUAUGGAUUUAAGGUGAUUCUCAAGAGGAACAAGUCGCCAUGGACCGAUGAGAUCGAGAGACGGCUCCGCGGUUGCGUGGAGUGGCGGCUGAGAGGAGAGGCAACAACAACUCGUUGUCCGUGACGGCCCGAGCGUUUGCGAGAGGGGAUGGAGCGGGGGUUGCAUUGUCACGGCCAGUUGCCGGAGUGGAUGGAGUGGUGGCCGCACGGACGCGCUCCUGGAGGUGCCGGUAUGCACCCUGAUUUUGAGCCUGGGAGGUUCCUUGCUCUGCCCUAUCCUCAAGGGUGUUCAUCUACUUUGGUAUCGUGCUCUGGAGUCAGGACGAUGCACUAAUGCAGGUUUGAUUCUUUACUUUUUCUUUUGUUUUAUUUGUAUGCACAUCCCUGAAUUUUGUGUGUCGUGAUUUAAAUGUUGUCGUGUGUGCCAUUGUGUCCUAUAUAAUUAUUCUAUUGAAGCACCGCUGCAACCCAGAUUGUUUAUCAAAUUGAUGCAAGAAACAAACUAAUACAUAGAGAGUAUAAAUUUAUUGCAUUAAUCUGUAUAUCCCUGCACCUAGCAAUAGGUAGAGAUGGAAAAAUUUUGUAGCUUUCUGAUCCCGGUUUUUCCUAUUGAAAUUAUGGAUUUGGAAGCUAAUCAUGGAGUGUUUCGAUUGCCUGCUUACGGAAUCGCAAUGAGCACAAGUCUGCAACCUUGAAGGAAAACCCGUUGCAACUGGUGACAUAAUAUUACGUCGCAACAAGAAUGUAUAGAGCUACAGAGCUCUGUGGAUCCUUCUCUUCACAAAAGGAAACAAGAGGUAAUGUAAACAAUAGAUUCUCUUGUGAAAUUGCGAUUCAGCCUUGGGGCGUGGAUGGCGAGAAGCGGAGGCGUGUGCCUAGAGUAACGGACCAUGAUGGAUUGAUGAGCUGAUGUCACGUGACGUACUCACGUGGCGGCUGGUUAGGCUCCGGCGGCUGGAGCCAUCAUCGACCAUGAUGCCGCGCCAGGAGCACAAGGGCUAAGACGAGGACAUGUUGGUGCCGAUGAAAUAAGGUGCUGCCGGUUGAUGGGGGCCUAACCAUGAGUCUAACUGAAAGUGAACGGGAGCGAUGUGCAGAAAAAAAAUCUUAGCACAUAGGCUGAAUUUGUAUAGUACUUCGAAUUUAUUAGGCAGUACCCCCUCCAUUUGUAUAUCACUUCCGAAUACAAGUUCAGGUUAUUAGGCAGUACUAUUGAAUUUAAGGAUUGAUACUUGAAGAUUUUAAAAGGUUACUAAAUUUUGUACCAAGUCUACUGUUAUGUAUGGGAAGAACAUGCGCUAAAAUAUUGAUAAUGCAAAUGAAAGUGAUCGUUUGAUUAUUAAA
Molecule: RNA transcript, 3647 nt
Organism: Triticum aestivum (bread wheat)
Lineage: Eukaryota; Viridiplantae; Streptophyta; Magnoliopsida; Poales; Poaceae
Gene name: mucin-19
Exons: 14
Source: RefSeq, a predicted model, not a curated record